This 513-nucleotide ribosomal RNA is filed under the name Oreina bifrons. RNAcentral's name for it is "partial 16S ribosomal RNA". It matches the Rfam family "Bacterial large subunit ribosomal RNA", at positions 1826 to 2604 of the family's 2925-position model. Lineage: Eukaryota; Metazoa; Arthropoda; Insecta; Coleoptera; Chrysomelidae. The record is from RNAcentral.
UCCUUUUGUUAAUAAUUUAAGGUCUAGCCUGCCCACUGAAAUUUUAAAUGGCCGUGGUAUUUUGACCGUGCUAAGGUAGCAUAAUCAUUAGUUUUUUAAUUAAAAACUGGAAUGAAAGGUUGGAUGAGAAAAUAGCUGUCUCUGUUAAAUUUAAUUAGAAUUUUAUUUUUAAGUUAAAAAGCUUAAUUAUAAUUAAAAGACGAGAAGACCCUAUAGAGUUUAAUUAUUGAAUAAAAAUUAUAUUUUAGUAUUAAUUUAUUUAUUUUAUUUACUAAUUUAAUUGGGGUGAUUGAAAAAUUUAAUUAACUUUUUUUAUUUAAAGCCAUUAAUUUAUGAAUAAAUGAUCCAAUAUUUUUGAUUAUAAGAUAAAAUUACCUUAGGGAUAACAGCGUAAUUUUUUUAGAAAGUUCAUAUUAAAAAAAAAGAUUGCGACCUCGAUGUUGGAUUAAAAUAAAUUUUUGGUGUAGAAGCUAAAAAUAUUGGGUCUGUUCGACCUUUGAAAUUUUACAUGAU